AGAUACUUUUUUGAGUUUAUUUAUUAAAUUUUACUUUUUAGUAAAAAGGCUAAAAUCUUUCUUUUAGACAAGAAGACCCUAUAAAGCUUUACAUGAAAAAAUUCAAAAAUUUUUAUCGUGUUUUGUUGGGGCGACAAGAGAAAAGACAUUUUUUAAUUUUUAUAACAAGUUUGUUAAGAUAACCAAAAUUUUUGAAAGAUGAAUAAGUUACUUUAGGGAUAACAGCGUAAUUUAUUUUAAAAGUUCCUAUUGACAAAUAAGUUUGCGACCUCGAUGUUGGAUUAGGGGUUCUUUUCUGUGCAUAAGUGGAAAAAGAAGGUCUGUUCGACCUUUAAUACUCUCCA
RNAcentral lists this ribosomal RNA (344 nucleotides) under Uroplectes otjimbinguensis. RNAcentral's name for it is "partial large subunit ribosomal RNA". The stretch from base 36 to 344 matches the Rfam family "Bacterial large subunit ribosomal RNA", at positions 2048 to 2600 of the family's 2925-position model. The record is from RNAcentral. Lineage: Eukaryota; Metazoa; Arthropoda; Arachnida; Scorpiones; Buthidae.